This 492-nucleotide ribosomal RNA is filed under the name uncultured bacterium. Its description in RNAcentral is "partial 16S ribosomal RNA". It matches the Rfam family "Bacterial small subunit ribosomal RNA", at positions 29 to 507 of the family's 1533-position model. The record is from RNAcentral.
AGUGAACGCUGGCGGUAGGCCUAACACAUGCAAGUCGAACGGCAGCACAGUAAGAGCUUGCUCUUACGGGUGGCGAGUGGCGGACGGGUGAGGAAUACAUCGGAAUCUACUUUUUCGUGGGGGAUAACGUAGGGAAACUUACGCUAAUACCGCAUACGACCUACGGGUGAAAGCAGGGGAUCUUCGGACCUUGCGCGAUUGAAUGAGCCGAUGUCGGAUUAGCUAGUUGGCGGGGUAAAGGCCCACCAAGGCGACGAUCCGUAGCUGGUCUGAGGGGAUGAUCAGCCACGCUGGAACUGAGACACGGUCCAGACUCCUACGGGAGGCAGCAGUGGGGAAUAUUGGACAAAGGGCGCAAGCCUGAUCCAGCCAUACCGCGUGGGUGAAGAAGGCCUUCGGGUUGUAAAGCCCUUUUGUUGGGAAAGAAAAGCAGCAGGUUAAUACCCCGCUGUUCUGACGGUACCCAAAGAAUAAGCACCGGCUAACUUCGUG